This 495-nucleotide ribosomal RNA is filed under the name uncultured bacterium. Its description in RNAcentral is "partial 16S ribosomal RNA". It matches the Rfam family "Bacterial small subunit ribosomal RNA", at positions 28 to 507 of the family's 1533-position model. The record is from RNAcentral.
GACGAACGCUGGCGGCGUGCCUAAUACAUGCAAGUAGAACGCUGAAGGAGGAGCUUGCUCUUCUGGAUGAGUUGCGAACGGGUGAGUAACGCGUAGGUAACCUGCCUGGUAGCGGGGGAUAACUAUUGGAAACGAUAGCUAAUACCGCAUAAUAGUAGAUGUUGCAUGAUAUUUACUUAAAAGGUGCAAUUGCACCACUACCAGAUGGACCUGCGCUGUAUUAGCUAGUUGGUGGGGUAACGGCUCACCAAGGCGACGAUACAUAGCCGACCUGAGAGGGUGAUCGGCCACACUGGGACUGAGACACGGCCCAGACUCCUACGGGAGGCAGCAGUAGGGAAUCUUCGGCAAUGGACGAAAGUCUGACCGAGCAACGCCGCGUGAGUGAAGAAGGUUUUCGGAUCGUAAAGCUCUGUUGUAAGAGAAGAACGAGUGUGAGAGUGGAAAGUUCACACUGUGACGGUAUCUUACCAGAAAGGGACGGCUAACUACGUG